This 468-nucleotide ribosomal RNA is filed under the name uncultured bacterium. Its description in RNAcentral is "partial 16S ribosomal RNA". It matches the Rfam family "Bacterial small subunit ribosomal RNA", at positions 28 to 507 of the family's 1533-position model. The record is from RNAcentral.
GACGAACGCUGGCGGCGUGCUUAACACAUGCAAGUCGAACGGAAAGGCCCUGCUUUUGUGGGGUGCUCGAGUGGCGAACGGGUGAGUAACACGUGAGUAACCUGCCCUUGACUUUGGGAUAACUUCAGGAAACUGGGGCUAAUACCGGAUAGGAGCUCCUGCUGCAUGGGGGGGGUUGGAAAGUUUCGGCGGUUGGGGAUGGACUCGCGGCUUAUCAGCUUGUUGGUGGGGUAGUGGCUUACCAAGGCUUUGACGGGUAGCCGGCCUGAGAGGGUGGCCGGCCACAUUGGGACUGAGAUACGGCCCAGACUCCUACGGGAGGCAGCAGUGGGGAAUAUUGCACAAUGGGCGGAAGCCUGAUGCAGCAACGCCGCGUGCGGGAUGACGGCCUUCGGGUUGUAAACUGCUUUCGCCUGUGACGAAGCGUGAGUGACGGUAAUGGGUAAAGAAGCACCGGCUAACUACGUG